GUUGCUUCAUAAUGAUGAACUCCUUCAGCCAUAGUGAAGGAUGUUUCAAGUUUCCAAAGCAUAGAUCAAUAAUAUGUUACCAGGAUUAAACAGCAUUGUGCGUUCAUGUAUAUUGCACCUUGUUACCUGUCUCCUGGUAUAUUU
Non-coding RNA from Thalictrum thalictroides, 144 nucleotides. NCBI's taxonomy places the organism in Eukaryota, Viridiplantae, Streptophyta, Magnoliopsida, Ranunculales, Ranunculaceae. The record is from the annotation of a GenBank genome assembly.